This 440-nucleotide ribosomal RNA is filed under the name uncultured bacterium. RNAcentral's name for it is "bacterial SSU rRNA". It matches the Rfam family "Bacterial small subunit ribosomal RNA", at positions 338 to 773 of the family's 1533-position model. The record is from RNAcentral.
CCUACGGGUGGCUGCAGUCGAGAAUCUUCGGCAAUGGACGAAAGUCUGACCGAGCGACGCCGCGUGCGGGAUGAAGGCCCUCGGGUUGUAAACCGCUGUCAGAGGGGAUGAAAUGCGCAUGGGUUCUCCCAUACGCUUGACAGAGCCUCAGAGGAAGCACGGGCUAAGUACGUGCCAGCAGCCGCGGUGAUACGUACUGUGCGAACGUUAUUCGGAAUUACUGGGCUUAAAGGGUGUGUAGGCGGCUGAUUAAGUAGGGUGUGAAAGGCUCCGGCCUAACCGGAGCAUUGCGCUCUAAACUGAUCGGCUUGAGUGAGAUAGGGGUGUGCGGAACUUCCAGUGGAGCGGUGAAAUGUGUUGAUAUUGGAAGGAACGCCGGUGGCGAAAGCGGCACACUGGGUCUUAACUGACGCUGAGACACGAAAGCCAGGGGAGCGAAC